Molecule: signal recognition particle RNA, 100 nt
Filed under: Ktedonobacteraceae bacterium
Lineage: Bacteria; Bacillati; Chloroflexota; Ktedonobacteria; Ktedonobacterales; Ktedonobacteraceae
Description: signal recognition particle sRNA small type
Rfam family: Bacterial small signal recognition particle RNA
About the family: The signal recognition particle (SRP) is a universally conserved ribonucleoprotein involved in the co-translational targeting of proteins to membranes. Archaeal SRP consists of a 7S RNA and homologues of the eukaryotic SRP19 and SRP54 proteins.
Source: RNAcentral
AAUCGGGUCCUGCGCGGCAGAUGUUCAUGAACCCCGCCAGGUCUGUGAGGAAGCAACGGUAAAUGGACCUCUCUGGGUGCCGCAGGGCUGCCUGGUUACG